RNAcentral lists this ribosomal RNA (464 nucleotides) under uncultured bacterium. Its description in RNAcentral is "partial 16S ribosomal RNA". It matches the Rfam family "Bacterial small subunit ribosomal RNA", at positions 339 to 795 of the family's 1533-position model. The record is from RNAcentral.
CUACGGGGUGCUCCAGUGGGGAAUAUUGCACAAUGGGCGCAAGCCUGAUGCAGCCAUGCCGCGUGUAUGAAGAAGGCCUUCGGGUUGUAAAGUACUUUCAGCGGGGAGGAAGGGAGUAAAGCUAAUACCUUUGCGCACUGACGUUACCCGCAGAAGAAGCACCGGCUAACUCCGUGCCAGCAGCCGCGGUAAUACGGAGGGUGCAAGCGUUAAUCGGAAUUACUGGGCGUAAAGCGCACGCAGGCGGUUUGUUAAGUCAGAUGUGAAAUCCCCGGGCUCAACCUGGGAACUGCAUCUGAUACUGGCAAGCUAGAGUCUCGUAGAGGGGGGUAGAAUUCCAGGUGUAGCGGUGAAAUGCGUAGAGAUCUGGAGGAAUACCGGUGGCGAAGGCGGCCCCCUGGACGAAGACUGACGCUCAGGUGCGAAAGCGUGGGGAGCAAACAGGAUUAGAUACCCGAGUAGUC